RNAcentral lists this long non-coding RNA (223 nucleotides) under Elaeis guineensis (African oil palm). Its description in RNAcentral is "long non-coding RNA (EGUI_LNC069142)". The record is from RNAcentral. Lineage: Eukaryota; Viridiplantae; Streptophyta; Magnoliopsida; Arecales; Arecaceae.
AUCCGAGCUUCUACAAUAAGCGGCCUCCUUUCAGCCUUCUGCAAGAACCAGACUCCAUCCGAACUUCCAUAGCGGAUGGAUUCCGGACGAGCUUCUACAACAGACGGGCUCCAGCAGCUGAAUUUCUACAAUGGCCGAUCGCCUCCGAUAUCUGUUGAACCUCCCCAGCCAUCAACCUUAAAUAGCAUUAGUCAGACUUCAACAACACCAUCUGGACUUCCAU